UGGGGAAUAUUGCACAAUGGACGGAAGUCUGAUGCAGCAACGCCGCGUGCGGGAUGACGGCCUUCGGGUUGUAAACCGCUUUUUCUCAUGACGAAGUUUUUUGACGGUAGUGGGGGAAGAAGCACCGGCUAACUACGUGCCAGCAGCCGCGGUGAUACGUAGGGUGCGAGCGUUGUCCGGAAUUAUUGGGCGUAAAGAGCUUGUAGGCGGUUUGUCGCGUCGAUAGUGCAAACUCAGUGCUUAACGCUGAGCCUGCUGUUGAUACGGGCAGACUAGAGGAAGGUAGGGGAGAAUGGAAUUCCCGGUGGAGCGGUGGAAUGCGCAGAUAUCGGGAGGAACACCGGUGGCGAAGGCGGUUCUCUGGGCCUUUCCUGACGCUGAGAAGCGAAAGCGUGGGGAGCGAACGGG
Molecule: ribosomal RNA, 408 nt
Filed under: Fusobacteriota bacterium
Lineage: Bacteria; Fusobacteriati; Fusobacteriota
Description: Fusobacteria bacterium partial 16S ribosomal RNA
Rfam family: Bacterial small subunit ribosomal RNA
Source: RNAcentral